Molecule: ribosomal RNA, 714 nt
Filed under: bacterium TP-MBA-3
Lineage: Bacteria
Description: bacterial SSU rRNA
Rfam family: Bacterial small subunit ribosomal RNA
Source: RNAcentral
GUCGAGCGGAAACGAGUUAUCUGAACCUUCGGGGAACGAUAACGGCGUCGAGCGGCGGACGGGUGAGUAAUGCCUAGGAAAUUGCCUUGAUGUGGGGGAUAACCAUUGGAAACGAUGGCUAAUACCGCAURAUGCCUACGGGCCAAAGAGGGGGACCUUCGGGCCUCUCGCGUCAAGAUAUGCCUAGGUGGGAUUAGCUAGUUGGUGAGGUAAUGGCUCACCAAGGCGACGAUCCCUAGCUGGUCUGAGAGGAUGAUCAGCCACACUGGAACUGAGACACGGUCCAGACUCCUACGGGAGGCAGCAGUGGGGAAUAUUGCACAAUGGGCGCAAGCCUGAUGCAGCCAUGCCGCGUGUAUGAAGAAGGCCUUCGGGUUGUAAAGUACUUUCAGCAGUGAGGAAGGGGGUGUCGUUAAUAGCGGCAUCUCUUGACGUUAGCUGCAGAAGAAGCACCGGCUAACUCCGUGCCAGCAGCCGCGGUAAUACGGAGGGUGCGAGCGUUAAUCGGAAUUACUGGGCGUAAAGCGCAUGCAGGUGGUUUGUUAAGUCAGAUGUGAAAGCCCGGGGCUCAACCUCGGAACUGCAUUUGAAACUGGCAAACUAGAGUACUGUAGAGGGGGGGUAGAAUUUCAGGUGUAGCGGUGAAAUGCGUAGAGAUCUGAAGGAAUACAAGUGGGCGAAGGCGGCCCCCUGGGACAGAUACUGACACUCAGA